GCAUUGGUGGUUCAGUGGUAAAAAUCUCACCUGGCAAGUGGGAGACAUGGGUUGGAUUCCCAGCCAAUGUA
RNAcentral lists this transfer RNA (71 nucleotides) under Loxodonta africana (African savanna elephant). It matches the Rfam family "tRNA". Rfam says of the family: Transfer RNA (tRNA) molecules are approximately 80 nucleotides in length. Their secondary structure includes four short double-helical elements and three loops (D, anti-codon, and T loops). The record is from Rfam by way of RNAcentral. Lineage: Eukaryota; Metazoa; Chordata; Mammalia; Proboscidea; Elephantidae.